This 629-nucleotide ribosomal RNA is filed under the name Nematoda environmental sample. RNAcentral describes it as "SSU rRNA". It matches the Rfam family "Eukaryotic small subunit ribosomal RNA", at positions 99 to 725 of the family's 1831-position model. The record is from RNAcentral. Lineage: Eukaryota; Metazoa; Nematoda.
CAUUACACAGCCACCGUUUACUAGAAUAUAGUUAUCCUACUUGGAUAACUGUGGCAAUUCUAGAGCUAAUACAUGCAAAAAAGCUCUGCCCGCAAGGAACGAGCGCAUUUAUUAGAAUAAAAACCAAUCGGGUUUCGGCCCGUAAUUUGGUGAAUCUGAAUAACUUUGCCAAUCGCACAGUCCUAGUACUGGCGAUGUAUCUUUCAAGUGUCUGCCUUAUCAACUUUCGAUGGUAGGUUAUACGCCUACCAUGGUAGUAACGGGUAACGGAGAAUAAGGGUUCGACUCCGGAGAGGGAGCCUGAGAAACGGCUACCACAUCCAAGGAAUGCAGCAGGCGCGCAAAUUACCCACUUCCAGAACGGAGAGGUAGUGACGAAAAAUAACGAGACAGUCCUCUUCGAGGUCUGUCAUCGGAAUGGGUACAAUUUAAAUCCUUUAACGAGGAUCUAUUGGAGGGCAAGUCUGGUGCCAGCAGCCGCGGUAAUUCCAGCUCCAAUAGCGUAUAUUAAAGUUGUUGCGGUUAAAACGCUCGUAGUUGGAUCUGCGGCCUCGGAGAACGGUCCCCCGAAAGGGUGGUCACUGUCUCUCCCAGCCUAAAUUCGAGUCGUCUCUAGGUGCUCUUUACGG